This 468-nucleotide ribosomal RNA is filed under the name uncultured bacterium. Its description in RNAcentral is "partial 16S ribosomal RNA". It matches the Rfam family "Bacterial small subunit ribosomal RNA", at positions 28 to 507 of the family's 1533-position model. The record is from RNAcentral.
GACGAACGCUGGCGGCGUGCUUAACACAUGCAAGUCGAACGGAAAGGCCCUGCUUUUGUGGGGUGCUCGAGUGGCGCACGGGUGAGUAACACGUGAGUAACCUGCCCUUGACUUUGGGAUAACUUCAGGAAACUGGGGCUCAUACCGGAUAGGAGCUCCUGCUGCAUGGUGGGGGUUGGAAAGUUUCGGCGGUUGGGGAUGGACUCGCGGCUUAUCGGCGUGUUGGUGGGGUAGUGGCUGACCAAGGUUUUGACGGGUAGCCGGCCUGAGAGGGUGACCGGCCACAUUGGGACUGAGGGACGGACCAGACUCCUACGGGAGGCAGCAGUGGGGAGUAUGGCACAAUGGGCGGAAGCCUGAUGCAGCAACGCCGCGUGCGGGAUGACGGCCUUCGGGUUGUAAACCGCUUUCGCCUGUAACGAAGCGUGAGUGACGGUAAUGGGUAAAGAAGCACCGGCUAACUACGUG